RNAcentral lists this ribosomal RNA (552 nucleotides) under uncultured bacterium. RNAcentral's name for it is "partial 16S ribosomal RNA". It matches the Rfam family "Bacterial small subunit ribosomal RNA", at positions 356 to 900 of the family's 1533-position model. The record is from RNAcentral.
UAGGAAUCUCCACAAUGGACGCAAGUCUGAUGGAGCAACGCCGCGUGAGUGAAGAAGGUUUUCGGACCGUAAAGCUCUGUUGUUGGUGAAGAAGGAUAGAGGUAGUAACUGGCCUUUAUUUGACGGUAAUCAACCAGAAAGUCACGGCUAACUACGUGCCAGCAGCCGCGGUAAUCGUAGGUGGCAAGCGUUGUCCGGAUUUAUUGGGCGUAAAGCGAGCGCAGGCGGAAGAAUAAGUCUGAUGUGAAAGCCCUCGGCUUAACCGAGGAAUUGCAUCGGAAACUGUUUUUCUUGAGUGCAGAAGAGGAGAGUAGAACUCCAUGUGUAGCGGUGGAAUGCGUAGAUAUAUGGAAGAAUACCAGUGGCGAAGGCGGCUCUCUGGUCUGCAACUGACGCUGAGGCUCGAAAGCAUGGGUAGCGAACAGGAUUAGAUACCCUGGUAGUCCAUGCCGUAAACGAUGAGUGCUAAGUGUUGGGAGGCUUCCGCCUCUCAGUGCUGCAGCUAACGCAUUAAGCACUCCGCCUGGGGGAGUACGACCGCAAGGUUGAAAC